Molecule: long non-coding RNA, 1573 nt
Organism: Mytilus californianus (California mussel)
Lineage: Eukaryota; Metazoa; Mollusca; Bivalvia; Mytilida; Mytilidae
Exons: 2
Source: RefSeq, a predicted model, not a curated record
AUAUACGUCAAUGAAACAGCAACGGUUGGGUGAACGUCAAGAUUAAAUGUGUGCACUGUAAUCAUUUUAAACAGAAAAUAGAAAACAGGUCGGAAAUUUCCAGUCUUUUAAUAUAAAAUUAAUCUUUCCAAAACCCAGAAACAAGGCAUACAGAAUUAAGAAUGGCUCCCGGGUUAAGGGAUACUUUCCAGACCAUAAAACAACUAUGCAUUUCCGACAAGCUAUUUCAAGUGUGGACACUGUUAAUAUUGAUUUUAUUAUUGAUCAUAGGCAUUCUCAACGGUAUUGGCAUUUUUCUAUGGAUUUCAUUAUUAUGUGGACUACUUAUAGCAAUUGGAUAUAAGAUUGGUUAUGCAAUUUGCAAAUUAGAUAUAAGGAGACGUGCUGCUAAUGCCGAAGAAAGUAGGAAUUCAUUGAAUGAAAUCAUAUAUAACUGAAUACAUCCUUUUUUCGGGAAACAUUGUGCGAUAUGCUUCAUUCUAAAAACUCAUGGAUAGUAAACAUAUUCUCUAAAUGACAAUUUUCUAAACAAUAACUUCUGGUGUAUGUGUUAACAUUUGUUUCAUUUAUUGAUAUUAUUAUGUAAAACUGAAAGAACGUUCAAUUUUUUAUCACUUAAACCAAGCCUUUUCUCUUUUGUUUAUUAUAAUUGUUAUCAUCAAAUCUACAAAAACUUAGUAUAUAGAAUAAUAUUUAUUUUAAUUUGUUUCUGAAUGUUUUGUAUUAAAUCUAGGAAAGGGACAGAAGCUGAUGUUUUAAUAGUAACAUCCGCCGUGUUAUUUUAGUUAGAAUACAUUUAUGAGUCAUAUCGAGGACUAAGCAUUAUACAAAAACUGUUUGGUAAAUGUUUCUUUCAUAACCAAGUUAAGACAUAAUCAAAGUGUUGAAUCGCCUAUCAAUGUGUAUUUUUUAACUCAAAAACUUAAUCAAAUGGAAUGUUUAGACAAAUAGUAACAUUGAAAACCUCUAAAAUUUUAGAUAUCCAUUAAUACGACUGGAAUUUUCAGCCUUUUUUAUUUACUUUUUCCAACAAAUUAAAACUAAAGAUCGAAUACUAGUCUCAAAUUUAUUAUUUGGAUGUGUUACAGAAUGAUUUUUAAAAAUCUGGGGUUGUAUUCAGGAAGUGACAGUAACUUCUACUUCUCUAGUAACACUCUUGUUUAAAAUAUGUUGAAUUGUAGUAUUAGUUCUUAUCUAGCAAAAAAGGAUUGAGAUCAAUAUUUUGCUUCUUCCAAAAAAUGCAGAAAAAAAAAUUAAAUGCCUGCAUAUUUAACAAUUUAGAUCUCGUACUUAACUUUUUUGCGCUCAAAUCAGUUUUAAAUUAUUUUGUUCAACAUGAAGGAAAUAUUUGUAUUUAAUAAUUCAAUUUCAUUAUUUGAAAGUACUGAAUAAAGGAUUGCAGUUUUUUUUAUUGACGUUCAUUCAUGUAUGUAGCAUUGUUUUUUCAAGAAUUAUCGAAUUUAUCCUAAUUUAUCGAAGUAAUUGUUUUAAAGUGUCUAAUUUCCCGUGAUUGUAUGACAUACAUUUAAAUUAUGAUAUAUCUUUUUUGUCAAAAAAAUCUGUUGAACUGUUA